UGCUUUUGUGUAAUGGCUCUUAAGAUGUUGUAGGCAACACAUACUGGGACUACUCAAAUGCUACAUCAUUUCAAGAUGGCAGGUGAAUGCAAGGAUUCUAACUGGUCAAUUUUAUAGAGUUUUCGGGAGACGUUAGAAGAGCUAACUGCCUUUCCAAAGGGAGUAUUUGCCUUUGGGUACAGCUGGUGGCGUAAUACUGACGCCAGAUGUAGAAUUACCUGCCGGAGAGCUGUUACGGGAAACAAGGUCCUUGUUACAGACAAGGGUGAUAUAGGACCGCCAGGGCCUUCGGGAGCAACUAUGUGGCCUCCGGAUCCGAAUCUCUCAUUCCAAGAGGGGUUGUCCGGGAACAGCCACUCAGUUUGGGAACAGUUUGUGAAAGUCAGAGCUAGCCAGGCUAUGUUCUCAAGAACUCGAUUCCGCUGCUGAUAAAAUCCACAGAUCAUCCGCCGAUGUUGGAGGCUCCAGACAGCCUCGCCGGUUCAGGUCACCAAGGUGGACUGGGAAACAGGGACCUCGAACAGGCCCUUGGCCUGACACUGCGGUGUAGCAAGGCUGCAAGGUCAUGGCAACUUUUUGUCUUCCUGCCUCCAGUUGUGCAUAGGCCUGGGCUAUAGCGGAGAUGGAGAGUUCUGGAGUUUCAUGGUGGGAUAGGGAAGGAACCUGUAGGUAUGGAACUCAUGCCUUCUCAGACUUAGGGGCAAGUCAGACUCAGGGAUACAGGAUCAGUCCACACCCAAAGACACAGAUGCUACAGGUCAGACUCAGGGAUACAGGAUCAGUCCACACCCAGGGACACAGAUGCUACAGGUCAGACUCAGGGAUACAGGGUCUGUCCAUAUGCAGAGACAUGGAUGUUACCAUUCAGAUUCAGGGACGCAGGCUCUAUUCACAUCCACAGACACGGAUGUCUGCAGUUUGGACUGCAGCCUGGGCAUGGGAUUAUCAAUAAGCUGCCCUGAGAAUUCAACAUGCAACAGGGAUUGAGACCCUUUGGCUCAACCCAAAGUACAUCCUGAGGGCUCGUUGGAUGGGAGUUGAUGCCUUCAUUUUAAAUGCCAACAACUGCUCCCCGACUCUCAUCUACAUCCUAAAUACCACCUACUAUUCCCCAAAUCUCCUCUACAAACUCCAAAAUCAAAACUCUCCUCUUAUUCCAAAAACAAGUGAGAAGGUUCUUGGGAACAAUCGAGUUUAGUGUGUGUGUGUGUGUGUGUGUGUGUGUGUGUGUGUUGUUUGUUUUGCUUUCCUGAAAUCUAAGAGGAGAUUUUUUGUUUUGUUUUGUUUUAGAGCCAUGAAUGCAACCACACAAUGCCCAAAAGAACGGGAAAGAAAGUCCUUCCCACUUAUACAGAAACUGUUGUAGAGGACCAUGGGGGACCUAGUGCUAUAGGGAGUCUCCUUGAGGAAUACUAUUCUGAUCUAAGAGACAAAUUGUACACAGGUGGGUGCACAACCUUAUCACAUGUAACACUCCUGACAGAUCACUUUUCCCACCCACCACACAGCACAGUGACUUUCAGUGAUGAACGUGAUGCACCCUAACCAAUGGCUACUUUUUGUUCAUUGAUUUUUUCCCCCCUUUAGUUUGAAACUAAAGAUUUUCUUCAAAUGGGCGACUCUCAUUCUAAAAAUAUCAUACAAACUCCAUAAAGUAUUUCAUGAAGGAACUAAAAAUGUACACUUACCAAACACAAAUCUCAUACCUCACAAUUCAUGCUGCUUUGUGCCUGGGAGUUGUAAGCAAAGGCUCCCAAGCUGUCGCGGAUAAUAACGGAUUUGAAUGAACUGAAGUUCUGUGUUUUGUCUUUGUAAUCCCUGUGAUUGCUGUUUAUUCCAAUUCCGUUAUUUAGGAGUGUGUCAUACCAUGGAGCCGAAGACAGAGCUCAAAGGUCCUUCCCUGGCUCCAAACCUUCACAGGCAUUCUAGUAACACAUGUGUGUAGCGUGUUGCUGCAUCUGUGUGCAUGAGCAUGAGUUUUAGAAAUAUAUUUCCAUGUGAAAUAUGUUUAUUUUAAAUAACAGAAAUGUGCUAAUUUGAAGCACAUGGACUUACUAAUAUAUUUAUUUGUUAAGAUGCAUUCCUUCAAACAGAGACCCAGUGAUUUGAGGGCUAGGAGCAUCUCUUCGAAGUACGGAGGGUGCGUGGUGCUAACAGAAAGCAGACUGAUGUUAGUCAGUUUUAUUAUUGUUUGACAUUCUCUGUGGACAACACGCCCUCCUCGCUCCUUACCCCUGGAGCAGACCACUCAAUCUUCAUACAACCGUCUCAUAUCGUCAGGACCCCAACACCGAACAACGGAAGUUGGAGCUAACACCCAGGUUUCCUGACUCCCAGAUCAGUACCAUUCUGUGCAUAACAUGCCAUGAAUAAUGCAUUUUUCACAAGAGGGCCCAGGAGCGUGAGGACAAACUUCUAAAGCGGCCCAUCAUGAAUAAUCGCAGAGCAGAGCGGUUGGCAGGAAGGACGCAGCCCAAGCGUGAGCCCAUUUGGUGCUGUGUGUGCUGAGCUUCAGUUCCCUUCCGUCCAAAGGUCUGGGUGACAUGUGCCCCUUCAGAAGAUAGAGGUGACUUUAGUUAUAAUAAGGAGAAAAUUGUUAUUUUGCUUUAUUAACAAGUAGCUUGUAUCAUAUUGAGAAAUUUAUCGCCAGCAUUCAGCUUGAAUACUGUGUUCAUUACGUUUUCUAAUCUGUGUGAUUACUACCUGUGUAAUUUGUUGUCUGCAUCUGCUAUCGGAAUUCUUCCAGCCCAUUAUAUUUCCCAUCUUAUUUUUUUUAUUUUUUGUAAUAGAGGAUAAGAUUGGGACACAGAAAAUUGCAGCAGAUUGCCUAAGGCAAACUGCAACCAGUCAGUAGCUGGAUGGAGCAGAGAAGACGCCCGUUAUGUGGGGAAUGUGAAGAGGAUGGUUUUCCGGCCUGGGCGCUGCUGUGACAACCCAGGCAAAUGGAGUUGCACCGGUUUCCUACAUGGGUACUGGAUAUCCCCGAAUUACCUGCAAGAAUUCAGCUUGCCAUCACCCAGAAGUUGUUGAGAUAGAAUUUGUGAAGGGAUAAUGGGACAGUGUGCUGUUAGCAAACCUGCCUGAGGCUCCCCAGGGGGAGGAGCACGGGGUGGGGGACUGGGACAAAAGCCAGCAAACUGGGAGAAAUCCAACGUUAGAAAACUAAACAGUAAGUUCAUACAUGUAAAUCACAGUUCAUACAUGUAAAUCACAGAAUAACAGCACCAAAUAUGGUGGGAACUCUCCUUUUUUUCUCUCCAUUCUAACUAUAGGCUACCAUUUCAUCUGACAGAUUAAAGCCAGAGAGCAUGUGAGGCACAGUGAAGUGA
Non-coding RNA from Myodes glareolus (Bank vole), 3329 nucleotides. NCBI's taxonomy places the organism in Eukaryota, Metazoa, Chordata, Mammalia, Rodentia, Cricetidae. The record is from RefSeq and is a predicted model, not a curated record.